This 1186-nucleotide long non-coding RNA is filed under the name Homo sapiens (human). RNAcentral's name for it is "HSALNT0317729". Lineage: Eukaryota; Metazoa; Chordata; Mammalia; Primates; Hominidae. The record is from RNAcentral.
GUGUUGCUUGUGGGUGCGUGUGUGGUGUGUGCAUGUGUGUGCGCGCGCGUGUGUGCGGGGUGUGCCGUGAGCGUGUGCCCGCGGUUCGGGGGAUGAGUAGGGGCGCUGACUUUUAGGACCAGCCAUUUGAGUCAAGCUGGAGACGACGUCUUAGAACCUAGGAUGAGUCUCGUUUGGUUUUAGUCUGCAAAGCUCGUCUGCAUCAGACAGGAAUUUUCCCCAGACGCGGGUGCACGUGAAUUAAUUCAUCAGAAGGCGGUUCACGGCCUGAGUGAGGGGGACGAGGGCGGCGAAUUCCUCCGCCUCAUUCCUACCCUGACGAUUCGAGCCUUAGCAAGUUCUGGCCUGUGGAGCCGUCAUCCAGAGCGCACAGCUUCAUGCCCUUGAAGGGCGCAGUGUGUCCCGUGGUGCCCGGUGGGCCCGGACAGAGACCCCAGAGGCUCUGUCUGAAGGAAGCUGCACCCACAGACUCCAUCCAGGCAGCGCGGGCGCGGUCCUGUCGCCUACCUUUCUCGGAAGCCAUCUGCCCAUGUGAAUCUAUGUGAAGGCCCUUCAUGCGCUCCUGGACAUCUGCGUGGGAUUUACUUCAACUGCUAUCGCUGCGAGGAGGACGAGCAUGUUUCACUGUAUUUUUAGCAGAGAGUGCAGAUUUUAGAACCUCGCGAACGGUCCUGUAUCUCCUGCACGAUGACUCUCCAGAACAGGAAUAGUGACCCUUCCUUUGCAUUUAUGGUGCAUAGGUUUUCAAAGGACAGUGUGUAAAUCAGCUUGUGUAAUAAUUGUGGCACCCACGCGCGCAAGCAGACUUACCAUGAGCUGACUUCCACUGAUUAUUUCAGUUUCCAGGGAAACGAGGUUUGCAGCCCCCUCCAGUGAGGGCGGAGCGGCCUCUCCAUUCCCAAUGCAGCAAGGCUGCUGCAGCCACGAUGAUUAGGCUUUGGAGGAGGAAGUGAACGGAUGGGGCCUCAUCCUCCUGCCUCCCUAAAGGGUGAGGGUGGAAGGAUGGGGCUGUGCCCUCUUAGGGCAGGGAAAAACAGCUUGGAGGGGUUUCUGCCAUCAGAGAUCCCAUAGGAGGCAGGUCAGUCCUGCAGAAUUUCUCCCCAGUCUGGCCUCCAGCCUCCCUGGCCCCUUUCUAGAGGCCUCCAUCCCACUGGCGGCUUGCUCCUGCCACCGGGCCUCUGCACAG